GACGAACGCUGGCGGCGUGCCUAAUACAUGCAAGUCGUGCGGACCUUGUUGAAAGCUUGCUUUUAAAAGGUUAGCGGCGGACGGGUGAGUAACACGUGGGCAACCUGCCUGUAAGACUGGGAUAACGCCGGGAAACCGGGGCUAAUACCAGAUCGUUUUUUCCUCCGCAUGGAGGAAAAAGGAAAGGCGGCUUCGGCUGCCACUUACAGAUGGGCCCGCGGCGCAUUAGCUAGUUGGCGGGGUAAUGGCCCACCAAGGCAACGAUGCGUAGCCGACCUGAGAGGGUGAUCGGCCACAUUGGGACUGAGACACGGCCCAAACUCCUACGGGAGGCAGCAGUAGGGAAUCUUCCGCAAUGGGCGAAAGUCUGACGGAGCAACGCCGCGUGAGUGAAGAAGGCCUUCGGGUCGUAAAACUCUGUUGCCGGGGAAGAACAAGUGCCGUUCGAACAGGGCGGCGCCUUGACGGUACCCGGCCAGAAAGCCACGGCUAACUACGUG
RNAcentral lists this ribosomal RNA (500 nucleotides) under uncultured bacterium. RNAcentral describes it as "partial 16S ribosomal RNA". It matches the Rfam family "Bacterial small subunit ribosomal RNA", at positions 28 to 507 of the family's 1533-position model. The record is from RNAcentral.